AAGUCGUAACAAGGUAUCCGUAGGUGAACCUGCGGAUGGAUCAUUAUCAAUUAUAAUUGUGAUUGGUUUACAAUAAUUAUAUUGUACACCUUUCAUGUUACAAUCAUUUUUGUGAACUGUUGGACAUAUCGAAUAUACUGACGUGAAUUCGAUACUUUCCGUACUGUCAUUGUAAUAUUAUCAUUCAUAAACUCUAGGAAUCUAAAACUUUUAGCAACGGAUCUCUAGGCUCUC
This 234-nucleotide unclassified non-coding RNA is filed under the name fungal sp. RNAcentral describes it as "partial internal transcribed spacer region". The stretch from base 1 to 46 matches the Rfam family "Eukaryotic small subunit ribosomal RNA", at positions 1786 to 1831 of the family's 1831-position model. Lineage: Eukaryota; Fungi. The record is from RNAcentral.